RNAcentral lists this long non-coding RNA (1325 nucleotides) under Orbicella faveolata. Its description in RNAcentral is "uncharacterized LOC110042576, transcript variant X2". The record is from RNAcentral. Lineage: Eukaryota; Metazoa; Cnidaria; Anthozoa; Scleractinia; Merulinidae.
ACUUCGGAAUGUGGACAGAUCACGUCCUCAAAUAACGCUUCGCAGAGACCAUUCUAAUUUUUAAUCUCGUUUGCUUUACAAUUUCGAUUCACGGCAUUACCCAAAUAACGAAGUGAAAUUUAGAAUUUCUUGGAUGGUCUUAGAUUCCGCCAUAAAGGAGAACUCAAAAUGACGAGAGUAGCACCUGCCGGCAUCUCAGGAGCUGAUAAUCGCACGGACGAUUUCAUAGCGUGCUGUGGUUUCCUUUGGGAAUGUAUGAAGUUCAUAUCAACUUGCUUCGAAUUCUUCAGCUGUAUUACAGGUUGCUGUGGUUGAAGCUGUGGCUGCUAGAAAAAGGUUUUGUUGUCUUGCUUCCGUAGUUAUCAGUAUUUGAUGGGGUGCAUUACCAUUGACGACUGUGAUAGAUUUUUGUGUUGUUGUCUGAGUGUCUUAUGAAUAGGUCUGACUGUAAACUGGAAUUCAUAGGCAAAUGAGUGUCUCAAAAGUAGAUAUGUUUCUAAACCGAGAUAACAUAAACAUAUGGAUCACAAAGAAGUCACCCUACAAUCCUGGCCAAAAGACUUAAAACACUUACUUUCACGUGGGUCAACUUUAUUACCAGUAAAUGAUCAUUUUUUUACUACUUUCUAUGCCAUCUGUUCCAAAACAAUAUUCGGACUUGGGUCGAGUCAACUGACGCCCACAGGGACAACAUUUUAAGGGGCGGGGGAGGGGAAGGGAUUUGAAUUACAGUUGACUCCUUGUUAGUCGAACUAUCGCUAACUCGAAUCUCGCCCUAACUCGCACCAAAAUUGAUUCCCCUGGAUUAGCCCGUUACAUUUACUGUAAUUGUACUCGAACCCCUUUGCUUAAGUGCAGAACAGUACUCUUUUACGAUCUUUUGUCCCAUUUUGUUAGCAAAAUAUCAUUUCGUUUUUAAGUUUGUAUUCGUAAUGACCCUAACUAAAUACAUUGUUUGAAGACUAAUCAAAAAUGUGCGUAAAACAUUGUUUCCCUGCUAAUUUUUAGCCAUUUCUGUCAUUUCUAACAAUACUUAAAAGUUUUAACAUUUGUUUUGACGGUUCUAGUUAACAGAAGUCAACUGCUAUUGUACACGUUGAAAGCGAAGACUUGACAAGACUUGUGGCGAGGAUUGUAGCUUGUAAAAACACACAUAUACUACCUUGUACUGCAAAGGUUUUUUUUACUGCACGGUAUUCUAGAGAAUAGCUGAUGUUCACAUAACAAUAAAGAGCCUCAGUUCAAUGUAACUUUGUUUUACAUUCGCUAAUUCACAUUUGUAAUCAAGCUAUGCCGGUUUGGAAUAAACUUAGUCUGGAAGUAGA